This 74-nucleotide transfer RNA is filed under the name Candidatus Nealsonbacteria bacterium RIFCSPHIGHO2_01_FULL_38_55. RNAcentral describes it as "tRNA-Gly". It matches the Rfam family "tRNA". From Rfam's summary of the family: Transfer RNA (tRNA) molecules are approximately 80 nucleotides in length. RNAcentral also lists the same sequence under 4 other names. Lineage: Bacteria; Candidatus Nealsoniibacteriota. The record is from RNAcentral.
GCGGGUAUAGUAUAGCAGCAGUACAACUCUCUUCCAAGGAGUUAGCACGGGUGCAAAUCCCGUUACCCGCUCAA